Molecule: transfer RNA, 65 nt
Filed under: Oncocephalus breviscutum
Lineage: Eukaryota; Metazoa; Arthropoda; Insecta; Hemiptera; Reduviidae
Description: tRNA-Leu
Source: RNAcentral
ACUAUUUUGGCAGAUUAGUGCGGUAAAUUUAGGAUUUAUUUAUGUAGAUUAUUCUACAAAUAGUA